RNAcentral lists this ribosomal RNA (372 nucleotides) under uncultured bacterium. RNAcentral's name for it is "bacterial SSU rRNA". It matches the Rfam family "Bacterial small subunit ribosomal RNA", at positions 524 to 898 of the family's 1533-position model. The record is from RNAcentral.
UACGGAGGAUCCGAGCGUUAUCCGGAUUUAUUGGGUUUAAAGGGAGCGUAGGUUGACGUAUAAGUCAGCUGUGAAAGUUUACGGCUCAACCGCGAAAUUGCAGUUAAUACUGUAUGUCUUGAGUGUACAAGAGGUGGGCGGAAUUCGUGGUGUAGCGGUGAAAUGCUUAGAUAUCACGAAGAACUCCAAUUGCGAAGGCAGCUCACUGGGGUACAACUGACACUGAGGCUCGAAAGUGUGGGUAUCAAACAGGAUUAGAUACCCUGGUAGUCCACACAGUAAACGAUGAAUACUCGCUGUUUGCGAUAUACAGUAAGCGGCCAAGCGAAAGCAUCAAGUAUUCCACCUGGGGAGUACGCCGGCAACGGUGAA